AGCGAACGCUGGCGGCAGGCCUAAUACAUGCAAGUCGAACGAAGCCUUCGGGCUUAGUGGCGGACGGGUGAGUAACACGUGGGAACGUACCCUUUGGUUCGGAACAACUCAGGGAAACUUGAGCUAAUACCGAAUGUGCCCCCAUCCUUAACAAGAUGGGUGGGAAAGNUUUANCGCCAUUGGAGCGGCCCGCGUCUGAUUAGCUAGUUGGUGAGGUAAAGGCCCA
This 226-nucleotide ribosomal RNA is filed under the name uncultured bacterium. RNAcentral's name for it is "partial 16S ribosomal RNA". It matches the Rfam family "Bacterial small subunit ribosomal RNA", at positions 29 to 267 of the family's 1533-position model. The record is from RNAcentral.